RNAcentral lists this ribosomal RNA (1358 nucleotides) under Thoracochirus sp. DDM1186. Its description in RNAcentral is "partial 28S ribosomal RNA". It matches the Rfam family "Eukaryotic large subunit ribosomal RNA", at positions 82 to 1115 of the family's 3401-position model. The record is from RNAcentral. Lineage: Eukaryota; Metazoa; Arthropoda; Insecta; Coleoptera; Staphylinidae.
AGUAGCGGCGAGCGAACAGGGAUUAGCCCAGCACUGAAUCCCGGGUCGGUAACGGCCGGGAAAUGUAGUGUUAGGGAGGAUCCACAUUCCCGCGGUGACAGGCGCGUCCAAGUCCUUCUUGAACGGGGCCAUUUACCCAUAGAGGGUGCCAGGCCCGUAGCAGACCGCCGACAAUCGCGGGAGGAUCUCUCCUCAGAGUCGGGUUGCUUGAUAGUGCAGCCCUAAGUGGGUGGUAAACUCCAUCUAAGGCUAAAUAUAACCACGAGACCGAUAGCGAACAAGUACCGUGAGGGAAAGUUGAAAAGAACUUUGAAGAGAGAGUUCAAGAGUACGUGAAACCGUUCAGGGGUAAACCUGAGAAACCCGAAAGUUCGAAUGGGGAGAUUCAGUGCGUAUCGGGACGCGGGAACGGUUUACGUUUCCGCUCCGAGUGACGGCGUCGCCUCACGGCUUCGCACGCGCCGGCGUUUUCCGUUCCGCAGAACCGCGCCCUGAACGCGUGCACUUCUCCCCUAGUAGGACGUCGCGACCCGUUGGGCGUUUGUCUAAGGACCGCGUGCUAGCCCGUACGUCGGCGGCCGAUUUCGGUCGGUCGUUUUCGAUUGCGGAGCCGCGGACUUUCCCGGCAAACCGGCCCGACGGUAUUUAUGAGUGAGUUGGUGCGGGAUCGCGAGUUACUUGUGCGCGUCCGGCCCGUUCGCAAGCGCGUUCGGUAUCCGUGCGGUCGGACCUAGUGCCGACGCCGGUAUCGGACGACUGUUGGCGACGGUGCUCUCGGAGACUGCAGUCCCGCACGGUCGGCGACGCUAACGUUUUGGGUACUUUCAGGANNNNNNNNNNNNNNNNNNNNNNNNNNNNNAGCAUGUGCGCGAGUCAUUGGGACCAAUGAAACCUACAGGCGUAAUGAAAGUGAAUUGUCGUCGCGCGGGCGCUCGCGUUCGCGCGUUCGGCAGCAGGGAGGAUGGGCGUCAUGCUCGCGCGUGCGUCCCGCACUCCCGGGGUGUCUCGUUCUCAUUGCGAGAUGAGGCGCACCCAGAGCGUACAUGCUGGGACCCGAAAGAUGGUGAACUAUGCCUGGGCAGGACGAAGUCAGGGGAAACCCUGAUGGAGGUCCGUAGCGAUUCUGACGUGCAAAUCGAUCGUAUGACCUGGGUAUAGGGGCGAAAGACUAAUCGAACCAUCUAGUAGCUGGUUCCCUCCGAAGUUUCCCUCAGGAUAGCUGGCGCUCAUUGCGAGUCCCAUCCGGUAAAGCGAAUGAUUAGAGGUAUUGGGGUCGAAACGACUUCAACCUAUUCUCAAACUUUAAAUGGGUGCGAUCUCCGGCUUGCUCAAUUGUUGAAGCCGCGAGAAUCGGAUCA